RNAcentral lists this ribosomal RNA (404 nucleotides) under uncultured bacterium. RNAcentral's name for it is "bacterial SSU rRNA". It matches the Rfam family "Bacterial small subunit ribosomal RNA", at positions 355 to 776 of the family's 1533-position model. The record is from RNAcentral.
UGGGGGAUAUUGCACAAUGGGCGAAAGCCUGAUGCAGCGACGCCGCGUGAGGGAAGACGGUCUUCGGAUUGUAAACCUCUGUCUUUGGGGAAGAAUAGAGACGGUACCCAAAGAGGAAGCUCCGGCUAACUACGUGCCAGCAGCCGCGGUAAUACGUAGGGAGCGAGCGUUGUCCGGAAUUACUGGGUGUAAAGGGAGCGUAGGCGGGCUUGUAAGUUGAAUGUCUAAUCCACCGGCUCAACCGGUGAUCGCGUUCAAAACUGCAGGUCUUGAGUGAAGUAGAGGCAGGCGGAAUUCCUAGUGUAGCGGUGAAAUGCGUAGAUAUUAGGAGGAACACCAGUGGCGAAGGCGGCCUGCUGGGCUUUAACUGACGCUGAGGCUCGAAAGCGUGGGGAGCAAACAGG